UAGACGCCGUGCCGGUCGAGGACCACUUCAUGCCUACAGGAGGGACAGCGAAAGCGGCCUCCCGACGCCAUGGUUGUGCCUCCCCUGGUCGGCAGGUAGGGGUUGGAGGCCUGCUCUUGCCAAGCAGCACAAGGAGAGCCAGUGCUGUUUGGGAAACAGCGCGGGAAGAAACCUACCUGGAAAAUAUCACUGGCGCAUUUCCGACAGAGGUUGUGCUGACAGGGCAGGAUGACCACAGGCUUGGUGAACAUCUCCAGGCAGAUGGGACAAAUCAGCUGUUUCUCCAGCAGGCUCCAGAAUCUUGCCUUUCCAAGCUGUGAAGCACAUGCGGUUGCUGGAGAAGACAACAGGAGCGAUGGCUGCGCCAGAGCUCAGCCACUUCAGAGCGUAAUCAUGUCACCACCUUGAAAAAGAGUUUAAAAAAAAUUGCCUGCU
Long non-coding RNA from Grus americana (Whooping crane), 435 nucleotides. RefSeq lists it as uncharacterized. Lineage: Eukaryota; Metazoa; Chordata; Aves; Gruiformes; Gruidae. The transcript is spliced from 3 exons. The record is from RefSeq and is a predicted model, not a curated record.